Molecule: long non-coding RNA, 162 nt
Organism: Bradysia coprophila
Lineage: Eukaryota; Metazoa; Arthropoda; Insecta; Diptera; Sciaridae
Source: RefSeq, a predicted model, not a curated record
AUGUUGUUAUGAGAUCUUCGACGUAACAAUGAAAAUCAUUGAAAAGAACGUCGAUGUUGUCAAGUUCACCAAUUUCGCCAGUGGCACCUUCUGUGAUGGAUUUAAUGUCGCCAAUGGCAACCUUGAUAAUGCCAACAAUACUGACGACAUUAUUGCCGGAUA